CUACGGGGUGCUGCAGUGGGGAAUAUUGCACAAUGGGCGCAAGCCUGAUGCAGCCAUGCCGCGUGUAUGAAGAAGGCCUUCGGGUUGUAAAGUACUUUCAGCGGGGAGGAAGGGAGUAAAGUUAAUACCUUUGCUCAUUGACGUUACCCGCAGAAGAAGCACCGGCUAACUCCGUGCCAGCAGCCGCGGUAAUACGGGGGGUGCAAGCGGUAAUCGGAAUUACUGGGCGUAAAGCGCACGCAGGCGGUUUGUUAAGUCAGAUGUGAAAUCCCCGGGCUCAACCUGGGAACUGCAUCUGAUACUGGCAAGCUUGAGUCUCGUAGAGGGGGGUAGAAUUCCAGGUGUAGCGGUGAAAUGCGUAGAGAUCUGGAGGAAUACCGGUGGCGAAGGCGGCCCCCUGGACGAAGACUGACGCUCAGGUGCGAAAGCGUGGGGAGCAAACAGGAUUAGAUACCCGAGUAGUC
This 464-nucleotide ribosomal RNA is filed under the name uncultured bacterium. RNAcentral describes it as "partial 16S ribosomal RNA". It matches the Rfam family "Bacterial small subunit ribosomal RNA", at positions 339 to 795 of the family's 1533-position model. The record is from RNAcentral.